GUCUCAAUUAUGUACACCUGUAAUCCUAGCUACUUGGGAGACUGAGGCAGGAGGAUCACUUGAGCCCAGGAAUUUGGGAUAGUCUGGGCCACAGAGGGAGACCCCAUCUCAG
This 112-nucleotide small RNA is filed under the name Marmota monax (woodchuck). The record is from RNAcentral. Lineage: Eukaryota; Metazoa; Chordata; Mammalia; Rodentia; Sciuridae.